AUGGCCCUUACCCUCAGGGAACCUACAGCCGCAUGUAGGCCCGGAAUCAUGGUCAUGAUCUUUGUAGCACGGGCAGCAGACUUGCUCCCAAAGGCCCGUACCCAAGACAGGACUGUGUUCCUUAGGGCCAGGUAUGUGUCUGAGGAGGUCUUUCCGAGCCAAAGAUGUCACACAUGCAGGCUGAUAGGCAUGGCAGAGUGCUUUCUUUCAUUCAGAGGGUGCAGAUUGUUAUGUAGGCAGCCCAAGAAGUGUUCUGUGUCUGAGCUCUCGCAUAGCUCGCCUUCUUUCCCCGAACACUGCCUCUGCUUCUUUUCCUUUCUGCCUCUUCCUUCCACUCUCUUUUGUUUUUAUUCUUUUUUUCUCCCCUCCACUGGGGCCUCCCCCAGACCCCCAAAUCGCUAUUUGCCCAACCUGUGACCUGAGACCACUUGGCAUUUCCCCAGGAUGGCUGGAAUUUACCGCCUGCCGAAGAAGCGUCUGUGACAUUUGCUCACCUGGGCGGCUUAAGCUACAGGGUCCGUGUGGAGGGACUGCUGAAAGGAAGUGUGAAAUUUACCUCUGUGCACCAAGGUUCUCGCCAGCAGGGAGACAAACAAGGAUGUUUUCAAGAAGCUGAGAUUAAUUUUUAUCAGGGUAUGCGUAUAUAGUCCUAUAUAUUCAUACACACAUUUAUUAUGUAUUCAAUAAAUGCGUGUAGACAAUUUGUACAUUAUCUGUUAUUCUCUAGUCAUUAUUUUAACAAAUUAAAUUUUCAUGGUUAGCUUCAUCUUUCACAUUCAUACCCUCCCCUUGCACAGCUCACUUCUUUCUUCCUCUCCCUCCCUGCUGGUAGAAGACACUGGGUUANNNNNNNNNNNNNNNNNNNNNNNNNNNNNNNNNNNNNNNNNNNNNNNNNNNNNNNNNNNNNNNNNNNNNNNNNNNNNNNNNNNNNNNNNNNNNNNNNNNCUUCUUUCUUCCUCUCCCUCCCUGCUGGUAGAAGACACUGGGUUAACUUAAUGCUCUUGGAGGCCUUGUGCCAUCAGCCCUCCUGUCUCCUUAAGGCUUAUGAGAUUCUGGUGAUGGCUUUCUCACUGUGGUGGUCGGCCCAACCAGGCCCAGUCGUUCUGCUGGUAAGGAAAUAGCUGCUUGUCUCUUUGGAUCAAACUGGUCUAGGAGCUUGUUCAAUCCAGUUACUGGGAUAGGCCAGCCCUGGAGGCUUCGCUGGCUCUUAGAACAUACGGACACACAGUCUAUCUGUCCUGGCUGUCAGCCGAGGAAGGGAGGCAGGCAGUGUAGAUGGUUAAGCUGUUACUUUAUACCCAUGUUUACCCUGUCCAAGUGAUUUGAAGGGGAAGAGUGCCCCGGGCCCCAGGCUGGGGGAAGAGUGCUGGUGGGUCAUUUUAGCAUGAAGCUGAAUGGAAAAUGUCAGCAGAAGUGAUGCCCCAUUUUCCCUUUGGAACACGGAAUUCUGUAAUAAUAGUUAAUGCAUGGAACACUUAAAAUAUGUGGAGCUCCUAUUGCCCCAACUUUUAAGGUGAAGAAACUAAAAGAAAGUUUCAUAAACUUUCCGAAAGUCACACAGCUCAGGAGAGGAUCUGUUGAGACAAGUUUGACUUAGGAAGUUUUACUAAAAGUAAAUGUAUUCAUUCCCAUUAAGUGACAGCCCUUCAGCUUGUGAUUCUUCCCAGAAAAUCCAUGGAAUCCUACUCAGUUGUCCAAAUAACAGAUCAUUUGGCUCUGCCUACUUCUGGUCCUGUUGCUCAGGUACAUGAACUUCGUUAUCUCUUGGCUAAGGUUGGCUGUAAAGCAUAAAUAAAAGGAGAUAAGUCCAAAAUUUUCCUUGGGCCUGUUUCCUGAUUUUUGUUAGGCUCCUGCCUUUGCUUUUUAGAAUCUACCUGACUUCCUUCAGGCAAUGAACAUGACUUAUCUUCAUCAGUUCAGUUCAGUUGCUUAUUCGAGUCCGACUCUUUGCGACCCCAUGGUUUGCAGCACGCCAGGCCUCCCUGUCCAUCACCAGCUCCUGGAGUUCACCC
Molecule: long non-coding RNA, 2012 nt
Filed under: Capra hircus (goat)
Lineage: Eukaryota; Metazoa; Chordata; Mammalia; Artiodactyla; Bovidae
Description: lncRNA (ENSCHIG00010002669.1)
Source: RNAcentral